ACACAUUUUAUUUGAAAGCAUUGAAUAAGUAGCUCAGGCUCUCGCUCAGACUUAAGGGGCUGAUGAACUACGCCCCCGCCGCAACCAGCUUUCUCUGCACCCCAAUCCAGCCCCGCUCCAGACGACGGGCUUAGAUUCUGCUAUCACGUAGGCAGUGAGCCUGGGGAAGAUGCGAUGCCUCCCUUGAAACCAUCAAGACAGAUAUCCGCUGGUUUUAGGGUGUCCCCCAAGGCAAGCAUCUGGGACGCCUCCGGCAUAUGCUCGCCCUCGGGGCCCGACCAGGAGGCUCCAGCUUUGCAAGGCGCCACCGCCCAGAGCUCAGGUCUGGGUUGGAAGGGUGGGCGGCACCGCCUCAGGGUACGUUCUCCCGACUUCGGAGAGAAAGAAAGGAAGAAAUGCACCCUAGGAAAAGGGGCUUCGACUUUUUGUGCCUGUGCUUUCAUGGAAGUCACCAGCUCUCGGCUGCUUAAGAUGCUACUCAGAAGCGCGCCCAGCCAGGCUGUGGCCAUCCGCGCCAAGUCCUCGUGUCCUGGUCGACGAGCACUUUGGGUAGCACCGCGACACACAAUAGCCACCACGGUUAGGAGAUAUGCUCGCUAUGCUUACCUGUUGGCAAAAAUAAAAUGCAAAAUAAAAAUUUAAAUUUGGAAACUAACACAUGGUGACAUCUUCUAGAACCACAGCUCUUUCUUCAGACAAAAGCCAAUUUUACCAUCCCGCAAACCCAUUGAGCCCUGGAAGUUCCGUUCGCGGCACUUUGGCGCCCUCUGGCUUUAUCAGGGUGGCUUGCUUGUUCUGCUUCGUCCUGAAAGAAUAGCGGAGGGGGGGGGGAAUGGAAAUGUAUGUUGCCUUCUUGGUUGGAUCUCCCCUCAUGAGUGAAGCACAGAUUUGGGAUGAGCUUGCCCUCCACGUCCGGAAUAACGAAACACAACUACAUUUAGGGAGACGAAUGCCAAAGGUAACAGGAACACCAGGAAAGGAGGAGACUGAAAUGGAUGAAGGAAGGGUCACCACCACCACCCCUUGGGCCAGGAAAGAAACCUGGCAGCUGUGAAGAAGGAAAAUGGUUUUCUACAACUACUUCUUGUGAGAGGCAGUCCCAUGGUAGCUCACUGCAUCUCAUCCUAUUGAGCAAGGGCUCUUAACAUCAUCCCUCUGGGUUCAUGUUUACCUGCCUCUGGACUGAAUAGUCAUCUAUUUCCAAACUUUUGUGAGUCUAGAUGUCAAGCUCAACUUAUCAGUGAAACACAUGAGGUCAUCCGAAAUGCUGACAAAAGACAGUUGGGGUACAAUGGAAAUCCAGACCUUGACUGUAUGCUAAGAAUGAGUAAGCACGACUGAACACAGCAUCCGCUUAGAGAUGUUCUCAAAGCCAAGCCAUCCCACUGAGCAUGUUAUUCUCACAGCACCUUUAAAAGAAGUUUGUUUUCCCAAAUUGAGAUAAAGGAGUGGGCGCAGCUUGUUGGAGUAAGACACCAACGGAAUCCUCUUGGGGGUUCCACCAUUUGGAACUGCAACAUCCAUUGCUGGCCCCAGCCUGAGAUGGCUGUUCCUCCUUUGAUGUUGAGAUGGUGCCUGACCCACGAGCUACAGCAAAUCAGCUGAGUCACUCAGGUACUAAAAUGAAGCCACUGUCGAAUGUCCGUGUCACUGAGGAUGUUUGAGACUACAAGCACAGGAGACAGAUGUGACCUAAUGUGGCUUCAAGCAUUAGAUCAAUGCUUAUCUCACGUUAACAAGGGAUCUAGAGACAGGUGGACCCAGGGCUGUGCAGCUCUCUGCAGUUGUCUCUGCCUUAGAAGGACAGCUAUGACAAAAUCAAGCAGAGCCUUGGCCACAUCUCCCUGAGUUUAAGUCCCAUUCUCCUGGGUUCUGAAGGCCCCACAAGGUAUCUACCAUCCCCAGCCUCAGCCCCUCCUCUGUCAAUUAGACAGAAUAACAAUACCUCCCUUGUGGCCUUGCCAUAGCAUUAAGUCAUCUAAGUGCUUGUCUAGAACCUGGCACAGAGUAAGUACCGCUCAAAUGUUAGUUCUCGCCAUCUUUACUUAUUUAUAACUUCAGCUCAGUAUUACAAGACAGUCCCAAGGCAGCAACCUUUCAUGCGGCCCAUGACAAUGGGUACACACAGAAACACAGGAAGGCAUAGAAUAGAGCUCGCAUGAAGUAAUGGUGGCCUGAGUUUUUAUCUUUCUGGGCAUUUCUCUCUUUCAACAGGGGAAUGCCCUCUCCCAGUUCUCCAUCCCUCACUGUUGGGUUGUCUAGACUAUAUAUAUUAAUUAACUAAUUAAUUAACUAACUAACUAAUUAAUGUAUAUGAGUACACCAUUGCUGUCUUCAGACACACCACAUCAGACCCCAUUGCAGAUGGUUUUGAGCCACCAUGUCAUUGCUGGGGAUUGAACUCAGGACCCCUGGAAGAGCAGUCAGUGCUCUUAACCACUGAGCCAUCUCUCCAGUCUCCAGCUAAACUGUUUCACAUGCUGACUUCCAAGCUGGUGCAACCAUCAUGGUUUAGACCAGUGGUUCUCCACCUUCCUAACACUGUGACCCUUUAAAACAAUUCCUCAUGUUGUGCUGACCCAACCAUAAAUUUACUUCCAUUCCUUCCUCAUAACUGUAUAUAACUGUAUAUAACUAUACACUAUAACCCAUAAUAUAAUUAUUUGUGUUUUCUGAUGGUCCUGGUCGCCCCCUGUGAAAGGGUUGUUCAACAACCCUCCAAAGGGGUCAUGACUCACAAGUUAAGAACCACUCGUUUAGACUCUGUGCUACCUAACAUAAUGGCCACCAGCCAUAUGAAGGAUUUUCUAUUUUACAAGAUUGUGUGUGUGCGCAUUUGCACACAAUGACAAUUUUUUUAAAUAAAGAUUUACUUUUAUUUC
RNAcentral lists this long non-coding RNA (2882 nucleotides) under Mus musculus (house mouse). RNAcentral describes it as "predicted gene 5468 (Gm5468)". The record is from RNAcentral. Lineage: Eukaryota; Metazoa; Chordata; Mammalia; Rodentia; Muridae.